UACGUAGGGUGCAAGCGUUAAUCGGAAUUACUGGGCGUAAAGCGUGCGCAGGCGGCUUUGCAAGACAGAUGUGAAAUCCCCGGGCUCAACCUGGGAACUGCAUUUGUGACUGCAUGGCUUGAGUGCGGCAGAGGGGGAUGGAAUUCCGCGUGUAGCAGUGAAAUGCGUAGAUAUGCGGAGGAACACCGAUGGCGAGGGCAAUCCCCUGGGCCUGCACUGACGCUCAUGCACGAAAGCGUGGGGAGCAAACAGG
This 253-nucleotide ribosomal RNA is filed under the name uncultured bacterium. RNAcentral describes it as "partial 16S ribosomal RNA". It matches the Rfam family "Bacterial small subunit ribosomal RNA", at positions 524 to 776 of the family's 1533-position model. The record is from RNAcentral.